This 254-nucleotide ribosomal RNA is filed under the name uncultured bacterium. RNAcentral describes it as "partial 16S ribosomal RNA". It matches the Rfam family "Bacterial small subunit ribosomal RNA", at positions 524 to 776 of the family's 1533-position model. The record is from RNAcentral.
UACGUAGGCAGCGAGCGUUGUUCGGAGUUACUGGGCGUAAAGGGUGUGUAGGCGGUUGUUUAAGUUUGGUGUGAAAUCUCCCGGCUCAACUGGGAGGGUGCGCCGAAUACUGAAUGACUUCGAGUGCGGGAGAGGUGAGUGGAAUUCCUGGUGUAGCGGUGAAAUGCGUAGAUAUCAGGAGGAACACCGGUGGUGUAGACGGCUCACUGGACCGUAACUGACGCUGAGACACGAAAGCGUGGGGAGCAAACAGG